RNAcentral lists this ribosomal RNA (492 nucleotides) under uncultured bacterium. Its description in RNAcentral is "partial 16S ribosomal RNA". It matches the Rfam family "Bacterial small subunit ribosomal RNA", at positions 29 to 507 of the family's 1533-position model. The record is from RNAcentral.
AGUGAACGCUGGCGGUAGGCCUAACACAUGCAAGUCGAACGGCAGCACAGUAAGAGCUUGCUCUUACGGGUGGCGAGUGGCGGACGGGUGAGGAAUACAUCGGAAUCUACUUUUUCGUGGGGGAUAACGUAGGGAAACUUACGCUAAUACCGCAUACGACCUACGGGUGAAAGCAGGGGAUCUUCGGACCUUGCGCGAUUGAAUGAGCCGAUGUCGGAUUAGCUAGUUGGCGGGGUAAAGGCCCACCAAGGCGACGAUCCGUAGCUGGUCUGAGAGGAUGAUCAGCCACACUGGAACUGAGACACGGUCCAGACUCCUACGGGAGGCAGCAGUGGGGAAUAUUGGACAAUGGGCGCAAGCCUGAUCCAGCCAUACCGCGUGGGUGAAGAAGGACUUCGGGUUGUAAAGCCAUUUUGGUGGGAAAGAAAAGCAGCAGGUUAAUACCCCGCUGUUCUGACGGUACCCAAAGAAUAAGCACCGGCUAACUUCGUG